Molecule: long non-coding RNA, 4851 nt
Filed under: Canis lupus familiaris (dog)
Lineage: Eukaryota; Metazoa; Chordata; Mammalia; Carnivora; Canidae
Description: lncRNA (ENSCAFG00000056065.1, ENSCAFG00845008660.1)
Source: RNAcentral
GGGGAGAUAGCGCUCUGUCCAAGGUGGGGAACAUUCGUGGCUUUCCCUUUUGUGACUGAACAGGCAUCAAAACAGACAGCUUUCCUUUUCACGAACACUGUAAAGUGUGGCUGACACAAGGAUACAAUCCUGCCUGCUGACUUCCAUCUACCAUUCUUGGUCCAAGUUAAAAGAGAACUCCUCCUUUUAGGGUCAUGUAACUAACUCUUCCAGACCCAGGAGGUCUCAGCUCCUCCAUUAUAAGCCCCAAUAUGACUGACCCUACCUGGCCUCCUUUCGAAUUUAUACUUCAAUGUAAUACUUUUAAAUAUGUGGUGAUUGGGUAAAAACAUUUCCCCAGAAAGAAUGUUACUUUUAUAAACGUGUGGAAUUUUAAAAAGCAAUUAAAUAGCUACUCCUUGUAUUUUUCAAAUACUCCCUAAGACAAGAUCCUUGUUGAAGCUGAACCAACAGGCAUUUGUUUAUGCUACUUGCGGGGCCCAGUAAAGCCACAUUGAUUAAAUAAAUAAUUGCAGGUACUCGAAUACUUUUUAAGCUGAGUUUUUCUUUCUAAAUAGAAGUUUAUAUUAACCUCUCCAUCAUAGGUAGACAGUGUAUGGAUUUAAUUUGUCUGAGGUUAAGUCUUCAAACUUCCAUGUUUUUGUUUCUACUUCCCUCAAUGGUUACCCCUUUUAGGAAUUUACCUUCUCUGCUCCAUCUUUGGCUCUUAGAGAAACAAGCAUGGGAAGAAAGGAUCCAUUUUACAGUUCCCUUGGAAUCUAUGUCCCACUGCUAAAUUAAGGAAAAAAUCAUAAGCAAGAGAGACUUCCGCCUGUGGCUGAAGUGGCAUCAGUGUGUGGGCCUACCAGUGCAUCUGAUGUUCUGCUAAACACCACCUGCACCAGCUGCAAACUGCUAUGGACUUGCAGGUGGUAAGAUCCCUCUUUGAGACUUAGAGCAGAAGUUAUUUAUGAUUCAGUAUCUUAAGUGAUCAGACAGUUGAGACUUAUCAUGCCCCUCCUCCCUCUCUUGCUCUAGCCCCAGAGGUACACUAGAUAUUUAUUUCAUCAUUGCCAAUGCAGGUAAUUAACUGUUACAGAUUCACUCUUAUUUGCAAGCAUGUCAGCUUUCUGAAGUUAAUAUCCAUGCUGCCUGAAACUGGAAUGUUAAGUUAAUAAAAAAUUAAGUACCAGUUAAACAUAAUUGCCUAAUUCUCCUUUGAGAUGCUUGCACUUGUUGCUAACUCUUCCUCUGAGCCUGCAGCAAUACUUUAACAGGGAUCUCAGAGAACUUUAAAUUAGAGCCUUGACUACUCCAGAAAGGCAGUCCAAAUUAGAGCCUAUGCAAUUUCUUUUUGAAAACUGUUAAAGUAGUAAAGUCCUUACUAUGGCCUCAUCCUAAGAACUUGAAACUAUGUGAAAAUCUCCCAGUCCCUUACCUACAUAUUGAUCACAUUAUUUUAAAUGGAGAGAGAGGGGGAAAAAAAAAAAAAACACCCCAUAGUUUUACCUCAUCUGGCCUGGACUAUGCCACUGGCAUGAAUUAAAAAUCUCUGUAGCUGCCUUGUUCCCUUCUAAAGGUGUUCUUAUGGACCACAAAAGUUAUCCUGCAAUUUUUUUUUUUUUUUUUUUUUACUUCUAUCAAUUAUAUUAAAACCCUCAAGAGUCUGGAUAUCACGCUCAUGUUUUAGGUAGUGAGAAAGACAUCAGGAGUACUGAAAACACCCAAAACUUUGGAUUAAUGACAUAUGAAACUCCUAAGGAUCCCUAAAACUUAUAAACCAUUUACAAACACCUAACUGGGAGUUAUGUCUCAGCCAUGAAACUAUGUAAAGCGAAACGAUCAUGCUAAGUUUACAGCUAUACCAAAUUCCUAGAUAUAACAAGACAUAUAGUUAGAAAGUUUGUAGAGGGAUGCCUGGGUGGCUCAGCGGUUUAGUGCCUGCCUUCCACCCAGGGCAUGAUCCUGGAGCCCUAGGAUCAAGUCCCACAUCAGGCUCCCUCUAUGGAGCCUGCUUCUCCCUCUACCUGUGUCUCUGCCUCUCUCUCUCUCUCUCUAUCUCUCAUGAAUAAAUAAAUAAAAUCUUAAAAAAGUUUGUAGAGGCCAAAAGGUAGAGAAUUCUGAUGAAUGAAAUUUCUGCAAUGAAUUUAAUUAGGCUGUAGUCAUAGGAUUGCCAAGGUUUUUUGAGAGGGAAGGGAGCAUAAGUAACAUUUUUAAGUUUAUUUUUCUGCCAUAAGUGACAGCUUUGUAGAACAGCAUUUUUUUUUAAACUCCAAAAUAAAUCCUAUAGCAAAUAUUUUUCUAUUUAUCUACAUGGAAUGGCCAGUUUGGCAAGAAAUGAUACAGAUUCUACUUGCUGCACACCUAUUUCUCACUGAAGUUUAUCCAAAUCCUAUUCUGGUUCAUUGAAACUUUGUGUUUAUAUUGGCCAGGUUGAAGACAGCUCAAUCUGUGGCCUUCUGAAGUUCCCUGUUUCACACACUUGAACUUUCUAACAAUAGAUACAUGUCUUAAGCCGCCAAACAUUGACUUUUUAGAAUUGGAACCAGAACUAUCAUUGCAAUGCUGGCUGCUGCCACCAUAUCAUCCCUGAGCACUAGAUGGCUGUUAAAAUAUAAAAAUGGAAAAGAAUACAAGCUGAAAAGCAGCUGUACAUGCAUUCUUGCUUUACCAAUUCCUGUACAGAGGAAGACCAUUUCACAUCCAAUGGCUGCAUUUUUUUGAGUUAUAUUAGAUAAAUUCUUUAUCAACCAUCUUGCAUCUGAGUGAGCUCUUGCAUGUGACCAAGACAAGAAAUCAUUCUGGCCCAUAACAGCAACUGCUAUUGAAUAACUAGAUCCUUGACUAGUAGUGCUUGAUUUUUCCUUAGUCAAGGUGGCUACAAAUCACUUAUCCACUGAUGAGCAGAAUGAAGCAAGCCACCAACAAAAAUUCCUCCACGUUCACACCAAUGACCUGCUAUUAGUUAGCUCUUGCUGUGCCAUUCAUUCUUGCACUUUCUGCAAAUCAAAUCCAUGUGGGAAGUGUUCUACUUGUAGAACUCACAGAAUUCACUGAGUGCUCAUGUCAAGGACUGCCAAGUAAAUGAGGGCCCCUAAUAAUCUGCUUUCCUUUGAAUGUAAUGCAAAGAUGACACAUGUUCAUUUUUCUAUGCCUAAUCAGUUUCUAGACAUAUUAUCAAGACUUAUUUACUUUGCAUGAGAUUUAAGUUUCCUAUUAUUUGAAAAUGUGCUCCUUUUAAACCACCUGAAUUAGAAAAACUUGCUGGAAUGUACUGUCAGUUAUUAAAGCACAUGUGACUAAGUUUGCAUUUGUCAGUAUUGUUCUACUGUUUGUACUGAAAGUCUCAUUUUAAAGUUGCCCCUUAACAUUGUACUAUACCUUGUAAUUUUUUAGAUUCUUCACUUGUAUGCUUUAAAUGUUUCCAGAUGCCUUUAGUUUUUAGCCGCUGUAAAAUAGCUACUUUGUGUUAUUUGAUAUAGGAUUGUUUUUUAAAAAACUCCAUUUAUUUAUACAGAGACAUUUAUAAUAUUUUACAUUCUUAUAUUCUGAAUAAAUAUUUCUAAUUCCAUGUACUUUAACUGUGUUCAUUAAAUGGUAAUAAGGCUGUCCUUCUGCAAUCCAGUUGAACAUAUAAAUGUCAAACCUGUGCUACUUCACAUUAAAUUGAAAGUCCUAGUCAAAGCUGGGGACUACAAGACACUGUAUUAGGUCAAAACAGUCAAAGAACCUUGUUUAUCGCCAAUUUCUAUUUGGCUGCCUUUGAAAAUUUGGUAUGAAUGGGAAGUUAUUUAUUAAAGUCAACCUGACGACAAAAAGAUGGCAAGGAGCGUUGCAACAUGUCUAUUAGAAGACAAUUUUCCUGAAAUGUGGUCAGCUCUCAGUAUGAAAGCAAAGUGUAAUACCUUGGUCCCCUCUUAAAAUUUUCUUUUUUUAAGAUUUUAUUUAUUUAUUCAUGAGAAUACACAGAGAGGAGAGAGAGAGAGGCAGAGACACAGGCAGAGGGAGAAGCAGACUCCAUGCAGGGAGCCUGAUGUGGGACUCAAUCCCAGGUCUCCAGGAUCACGCCCUGGGCUGUAGGCGGCGCUAAACUGCUACGCCACAGGGGCUGCCCCCCUCUUAAAAUUUUAAAUAAAAUGUAUUAUAUAGUGGAGGUCUCUAGUGGAAAAGACUUUUUCCCACGAUCCAAGGACCUUUAAGCAUUCUAUCUGGAAAACCUGGUUCAAGAAAAAAUAUAAGAAUUCUUGGAUUGUAUGUAUCUAAUCUAUUUUGGUUUAAAGCAAUAACCAAACUAUUAAGGGUUUGAGGUGGAGAAUACAUACCAGUUCUUUAUUUUCACUUUCACACAUUUUUUUUCUUUUAAGAUUUUAUUUAUUCAGAAGAGAGAGAGAGAGAGAGAGAGGCAGAGACACAGGCAGAGGAAGAGGCAGGCUCCAUGCAGGGAGCCCCACGUGGGACUCAAUCCCGGGUCUCCAGGAUCACUCCCUGGGCCCAAGGCAGGCACCAAACCGCUGAGCCAUCCAGGGAUCCCUCGCACACUCUUUUAAUAGUUCUGCCCAUCAUAUAAGUAUGCCUUUAUCUCAUACCUACCAUUUUUUAUUGGUCCAAAGAGAGACAAAAUAUGAAUAAGUUGGAACUUAUGAUAAGUAACAGUAGCAGAAAUCGGGUUAUGGUAGUAAUUAAAACUGCCCAAGCAGCAAAAUUUAUUGAUAUUGCACUACAGUCUAAAUUUAACACGAUAGUAUUUUUACAGAAAGCCAAUAUUUGAACAAUCAACUGUAAAAAAUGUUUUAAAAUACAAAAGGAAACCUUCAUUCAUUUAAAUUGUAUUCUGUAAGAUAAAAGGUUUUUAAUUUCUAAACUGGUGUUAUU